UGCCAGCCGCCGCGGUAAUACGGAGGGUGCAAGCGUUAUCCGGAAUCACUGGGUUUAAAGGGUGCGUAGGCGGCCUAGUAAGUCAGAGGUGAAAGCCCACAGCUUAACUGUGGAACUGCCUUUGAUACUGCUAAGCUUGAAUUAGGUUGAGGUUGGCGGAAUGUGACAUGUAGCGGUGAAAUGCAUAGAUAUGUCACAGAACACCAAUUGCGAAGGCAGCUGGCUAGACCUUAAUUGACGCUGAGGCACGAAAGCGUGGGGAGCGAACAGGAUUAGAUA
RNAcentral lists this ribosomal RNA (279 nucleotides) under uncultured bacterium. Its description in RNAcentral is "partial 16S ribosomal RNA". It matches the Rfam family "Bacterial small subunit ribosomal RNA", at positions 506 to 784 of the family's 1533-position model. The record is from RNAcentral.